Molecule: long non-coding RNA, 403 nt
Organism: Polyodon spathula (Mississippi paddlefish)
Lineage: Eukaryota; Metazoa; Chordata; Actinopteri; Acipenseriformes; Polyodontidae
Exons: 4
Source: RefSeq, a predicted model, not a curated record
CAGUUUACAUAUGUUAUGUCAGAGUCCAUGUUGAAGUUCGUAUGCAUUGUAGGAACUUCAUACGUUUAGCUGGGUCAUUUCAGGACAACAGUUUCACGGAUCACCUGCAUUUUAUCACCUUUGACCUUCUCAUGUGCAGGUCUCGCAGCAUUUGCAGUCAAAUCAACAUUUUUCUUUGCUCGGCCUACGAUGAAUGGGACAAACACAUGUGGGGUCCAGGCUGUGCUGGCUAGCUAGGCAUGAAAAACAGAACUGGAAUGACAGGUCUCAUUGUAGUUGACAGAAGAACCAGAAAUGAUUUCUAGGCCAUAAUGCCCACCAGUAUGUCGGGAAGUGACAGUAACUGUGGGGAUAACAGUCUUACUGGGUAUCCAUUGAUUUGCUGUGGCUCUCUCGUUGCAGG